CACGUAGUUAGCCGUGGCUUUCUGGUUAGGUACCGUCAAGGUACCGGCAGUUACUCCGAUACUUAUUCUUCCCUAACAACAGAGCUUUACGACCCGAAGGCCUUCAUCGCUCACGCGGCGUUGCUCCGUCAGACUUUCGUCCAUUGCGGAAGAUUCCCUACUGCUGCCUCCCGUAGGAGUCUGGGCCGUGUCUCAGUCCCAGUGUGGCCGAUCACCCUCUCAGGUCGGCUACGCAUCGUGGCCUUGGUGAGCCGUUACCUCACCAACUAGCUAAUGCGCCGCGGGCCCAUCUGUAAGUGACAGCCGAAACCAUCUUUCAGCAUUUCCUCAUGAGAGGAAAUGCAUUAUUCGGUAUUAGCCCCGGUUUCCGGAGUUAUCCCGAUCUUACAGGGCAGGUUGCCCAGUGUUACUCACCCGUCCGCCGCUAAUCUUCGGGAGCAAGCUCCCGAAGAUCCGCUCGACUUGCAUGAUUAGGCACGCCGCCAGCCGUGUCCUGCGCAGGAUA
Molecule: ribosomal RNA, 505 nt
Filed under: uncultured Bacillaceae bacterium
Lineage: Bacteria; Bacillati; Bacillota; Bacilli; Caryophanales; Bacillaceae
Description: partial 16S ribosomal RNA
Source: RNAcentral